Molecule: long non-coding RNA, 703 nt
Organism: Osmerus eperlanus (European smelt)
Lineage: Eukaryota; Metazoa; Chordata; Actinopteri; Osmeriformes; Osmeridae
Exons: 2
Source: RefSeq, a predicted model, not a curated record
UCGAGUCUGACGGACUCGAGAGAUCGCAGAUAGAUUGUGGCUAGUCUGGGUUGUUAUAUGUUUUGGAAACUGCAAAGGCAGCUCGAGUCUAAGACGGAUUCGAAAGACCACAGAUAGAUUGCGGCUAGUCUGGGUUGUUGUAUGUUUUGGACAGUGUCGGUUCUACAUUGAAUUACACCCAGGGCGAGACGCCCUUCGCGCCUUCGCUGUUAUGGUGGCCCAGAGUCCUUGGAUCAUGACUACCUGGCCUGACAACACCAAGCUGACCUUGUCCAAAGCCGCUGUCCACAGCCCACAUGGUGGACCUUGUCUACCUGGUUGAACAGCUCAUCUGGAUUCAGUCUGAAGAAAGGACACAGUUCACCUAUGUUUAUUGAGCUGAUGGUCUUCUGAACAUGCACACAUAUGAAUUUGACUUUAAAGGUAAUCCAAUCUGAUCUCACCAGCAAAAGCAGAAGACAACACCUCAUACUCCGACUACUAUUUGAUUGAUAUUUGAUAUGUCAGCAACGUUAGAUCAGAGGAAUGUGCCCAUAUUGUGUACAAACUUUUACCUUUACAUCUCAUGUGCUAGGGAUAAGUAGUUAUUAGAGGGGGCAGGUAUCAAUGUAAUGUUUUAUGUGAAGCUAUUCAAUAAAUCCAAAGUCACAUUUAUAUUGUACGAAUUAUAAUCACUUUCUUUUAAUAAAGUUUGUUUGCAAUA